CAGAGACUGCAAGCGUUAUUCGGAUUCACUGGGCGUAAAGGGUGCGCAGGCGGCCGAGUGUGUGAGGCGUGAAAGCCCGGGGCUUAACCCCGGAAUUGCACCUCAAACUACACGGCUAGAGCAUUGGAGAGGGUAGCAGAAUUCAUGGUGUAGCAGUGAAAUGCGUAGAUAUCAUGAGGAAUACCAGAGGCGAAGGCGGCUACCUGGACAAUUGCUGACGCUCAGGCACGAAAGCGUGGGGAGCAAAAGGGAUUAGAUACCCCUGUAGUCCACGCCCUAAACGGUGCACACUAGGUCUUGGCGGAUUCGACCCCCCCAGGGCCCCAGCUAACGCGUUAAGUGUGCCGCCUGAGGACUACGGCCGCAAGGCUA
This 372-nucleotide ribosomal RNA is filed under the name uncultured organism. RNAcentral describes it as "bacterial SSU rRNA". It matches the Rfam family "Bacterial small subunit ribosomal RNA", at positions 526 to 896 of the family's 1533-position model. The record is from RNAcentral.